RNAcentral lists this ribosomal RNA (442 nucleotides) under uncultured bacterium. RNAcentral describes it as "partial 16S ribosomal RNA". It matches the Rfam family "Bacterial small subunit ribosomal RNA", at positions 338 to 795 of the family's 1533-position model. The record is from RNAcentral.
CCUACGGGCGGCAGCAGUAGGGAAUCUUUCACAAUGGGCGAAAGCCUGAUGGAGCAACGCCGCGUGCAGGAUGAAGGCCUUCGGGUUGUAAACUGCUUUUAUAAGCGAGAAAUAUGAUGGUAACUUAUGAAUAAGGAUCGGCUAACUACGUGCCAGCAGCCGCGGUCAUACGUAGGAUCCGAGCAUUAUCCGGAGUGACUGGGUGUAAAGAGUUGCGUAGGUGGCAUAAUAAGUAGCUAGUGAAAUCUGGUGGCUCAACCAUUCAGACUAUUAGCUAAACUGUUAAGCUCGAGACCGUUAGGGGUAACUGGAAUUUCUAGUGUAGGAGUGAAAUCCGUAGAUAUUAGAAGGAACACCAAUAGCGUAGGCAGGUUGCUGGGACGGUUCUGACACUAAGGCACGAAAGCGUAGGGAGCAAACAGGAUUAGAUACCCGAGUAGUC